CCUACGGGGGACAGCAGUAGGGAAUAUUGCUCAAUGGGGGAAACCCUGAAGCAGCAACGCCGCGUGGAGGAUGAAGGUUUUCGGAUUGUAAACUCCUUUUGUUAGAGAAGAUAAUGACUGUCUCUAACGAAUAAGCACCGGCUACCUCCGUGCCAGCAGCCGCGGUAAUACGGAGGUGGCAAGCGUUACUCGGAAUCACUGGGCGUAAAGAGCGCGUAGGCGGGAUAGCAAGUCAGAUGUGAAAGCCGAUGGCGUAACCAUAGAACUGCAUUUGAAACUGGUAUUCUAGAGUAUGGGAGAGGUAGGUGGAAUUCGUGGUGUAGGGGUAAAAUCCGUAGAUAUCAAGAAGAAUACUCAUUGCGAAGGCGACCUGCUAGAACAUAACUGACGCUGAUGCGCGAAAGCGUGGGUAGCAAACAGGAUUAGAUACCCUGGUAGUC
Molecule: ribosomal RNA, 440 nt
Filed under: uncultured bacterium
Lineage: Bacteria
Description: partial 16S ribosomal RNA
Rfam family: Bacterial small subunit ribosomal RNA
Source: RNAcentral